CUCCCGUUCGUCUAGCCCGGCCUAGGACACCAGGUUUUCAUCCUGGCGACAGGGGUUCGAAUCCCCUACGGGAGGCCA
Molecule: transfer RNA, 78 nt
Filed under: Puniceicoccaceae bacterium MED-G32
Lineage: Bacteria; Pseudomonadati; Verrucomicrobiota; Opitutia; Puniceicoccales; Puniceicoccaceae
Also listed under: 6 other names
Description: tRNA-Glu(ttc)
Rfam family: tRNA
About the family: Transfer RNA (tRNA) molecules are approximately 80 nucleotides in length.
Source: RNAcentral